CCCGGACCAGGGCUUGAACCCGUGUCCCCUGCAUUGGCAAGCGGAUUCUUAACCACUGUGCCACCAGGGAAACCCCAUAUUAACUAUUCAAAAGAGAGUAGAGCUGAGAUUGAUAUGCCUUAGGAGUAGACUUUGUCCUCAAAUUCUUUUUUUGUGUGUGUGUCCUUAAAUUCUCACACUGAAAUACUAAUCUCCAGGACCUGUGACCGAGACCUUAUUUGGAAGUAGGGUCUUUGCAGAUGAUCAAGUUAAGAGAAUUGAAAAUUUCCUGCUGAAGACCUCAUGAUCAGACAGGUCCCGCCUGUCUGCAUUUCAGCCAGAGGGAGACGGGGAACAUUCCAGCAAAGGCAGUAUCCUAUACACUGAUUACUGGGGCAGCUGUCAAAGGCCUUCCACUGCUGUGGCCUCUCCCGUUGCGGAGCACAGGCUCCGGACG
Aethalodelphis obliquidens (Pacific white-sided dolphin) is the source of this 436-nucleotide long non-coding RNA. RefSeq lists it as uncharacterized. The record is from RefSeq and is a predicted model, not a curated record. Lineage: Eukaryota; Metazoa; Chordata; Mammalia; Artiodactyla; Delphinidae. The transcript is spliced from 3 exons.